UACGUAGGGUGCAAGCGUUGUCCGGAAUUAUUGGGCGUAAAGAGCUCGUAGGCGGUCUGUCACGUCGGCUGUGAAAACCCGGGGCUCAACCCCGGGCCUGCAGUCGAUACGGGCAGACUAGAGUGCGGUAGGGGAGACUGGAAUUCCUGGUGUAGCGGUGAAAUGCGCAGAUAUCAGGAGGAACACCGGUGGCGAAGGCGGGUCUCUGGGCCGUAACUGACGCUGAGGAGCGAAAGCGUGGGGAGCAAACAGG
RNAcentral lists this ribosomal RNA (253 nucleotides) under uncultured bacterium. Its description in RNAcentral is "partial 16S ribosomal RNA". It matches the Rfam family "Bacterial small subunit ribosomal RNA", at positions 524 to 776 of the family's 1533-position model. The record is from RNAcentral.